Long non-coding RNA from Octopus bimaculoides (California two-spot octopus), 294 nucleotides. RefSeq lists it as uncharacterized. Lineage: Eukaryota; Metazoa; Mollusca; Cephalopoda; Octopoda; Octopodidae. The record is from RefSeq and is a predicted model, not a curated record.
UACCUUUUGUCAUAUUCGUUUACAGCAAGUUGUUUUACACCUAUUACACUAUUUUUUUCUUUUGUUUUUUAGUUUGACUGUCGCUUCUUCCCCUUUUUUUCUCUCAGCAAGUAAUACAAUUGAAUACGAAAUCUAAGGAAGAUAAAUACGAGACUAGAAAGAAAAGCAGCCAGACAGAAGAAAUAUCACAGAUGGCAAAUCACAGAUGGCAAAAAGAGAAAUGAACAUGCAAUCCAGCAAGAAAAGUAUUAUAUACUAUAUUUGGAAAAAUAAAUGAGAUGGUUAUGGCUAGAA